Molecule: long non-coding RNA, 3001 nt
Organism: Wyeomyia smithii (pitcher-plant mosquito)
Lineage: Eukaryota; Metazoa; Arthropoda; Insecta; Diptera; Culicidae
Exons: 4
Source: RefSeq, a predicted model, not a curated record
GAUUGGAUGCACUCCAGGAAACUGAUCAUAAGACAGAUGUCAUCGUAGUGAACAACCGUAAAUCUGAACAGAAGGCGGUGACUAGUGCCGAUGAAUGCACUAUCCCCUCAAAGCGACAUUAGUGUGGUGAUAGGUCUGCACUGAAUCUAUGGAAAAGCUUUGAGUAGAGAGAAUAAAGAUGGUUUGUAAGUUAAGCAGUCGAGUGUUUGAUUGAGCGCUAAAUCUAUCACAAAUUGGCGACGAGGAUAGCUGUCAAUUCGUGUUUUCGGGGGGAAUCGGAGGUUUACUAACCAGAUUCAGUAACGGUGUGUGCGUGAAAGCGGUGACACUGCGUCUGGAGAGCAGGAGAGAAUUUUUUCAUAAAACAGCUCACCAGUGAGUUGUGUCAUAGUCUGUGUUUAGUAAACAGGAAGAACCGGAAGAACUGACUGAUAAGCUCUGUGCCUAGUAAACAGAACAGUCCGCAUCUAGGAAGCGGCGGAAAAUUGCAAAGCCUGCGAGUUGGUGGAAAACUUGACAGGAGAGCCCGCAUCUAGGUAGCGGUAGAAAAUUUGUUGGUUGCAAAUUGGAAGCUCUGUGUCGAAAGGAAAACUUUUUGCUAGGUGGAGUUUGUUAUACUGCGUCUGAAUAGUGAUUAUUACGGAGCUGCAUUCGUGAAGCAAUGGAUGGCAACAAAUUCUUUUCUAAGCUGCCGGCAUUUACAAUCGCCGGAGUUCCUCUUACGGAUUGCAGGAAUAGAUGGAACACUCGGCAAAGAGGGUUCGAAAUCUGUUUAAGAGCAACGAAAGUAAAAGAUGGAACAGAGAAGAAGGAUAUGCUUCUGGCGUGCGGCUCGUUUGAACUUCAAGACAUUUUCUUCAAUGGAUAUUGAAGCAGACGGAAAAGAAGGGAUCGAUCCAUACGUCGUGGCGAUUGGGAAACUGGAUGAUUAUUUCGCACCCCAAAGACAUGAGGCUCGCGAACGCUUUCUGUUUUGGGCUAUGAAGCCAGAGCCGGAGAAAACACUGGAAAAAUUCUUAAUGCGUGCGCAAGCUCAUGGGUCGUAAUGUAAUUUUGGAAAAUCCGCUUCGGAAAAUGUCGGUAUAGCGAUUGUGGACAAGAUGCUCCAGUUUGUGCCUAAUCAGUUGCGGGCAAAGUUGCUUCAGGAGAAAGAUUUGACGCUAGAGGGGAAGCUAGAGGAACAAGUAAACUCAUUCGAGACCUCACUUGUGGCUAGCGAUCAGAUGGCUGGUCAAAGUAGUCCGCUACAAGCAAACAGACCUGCUGAUAAUAUUCAGUAUGUUGCGACGCCCUGUAGAUUCUGUGCUCGUUUCCACGGAAAACCGCCUUGUCCGGCACGAGAUAAAAAAUGUGCGAACUGCCAAAAACGUGGUGCGCCUUGCUAUUCAUCGCCGGGACAGGUGUCAUCGAGCUAACCAUUUAGCAGUAAUAACUUGAACAGACAAACCUCUUUCAAAAGGCCUUACGAGCGAUCGUCUCUUUCUAGUUCAGGUCAAAUUUCGGGUCCAAUAGCGAAGAGAAAAGUAACGCAAUUUACUCGGAAAGUACAUGCUAUUGAGGAUCAAGACGAAGAAGAACAAGGGUAACUUGUGGAGAUAGUUUCUUCUGGUAACGAUUCCGAUGAGUUGAUCUAGGCCAAAGUAGGUGGCGUUCAUAUCGAGAUGCAAAUAUACUCGGGGGUUCAAUCGAACAACAUUGACGAUCGGACAUGGAACUCGAUGAACCGGAAUGGAAUUGACGUGAUUGGAGAGGUUCGUGGGUCUGAUCGAAGGUUCAAGGCGUAUGCUCAAGCAGACUGUUCAGAAGUAACCGCUAUGUUUGAUGCAGAAAUUGUCAUUCCGGAUGGACACAAGCAGCUCAAAGCUGUGUCACGUUUUUAUGUUGUGAGAAACGGACCUCAGCCUCUGUUGGGAAAGCAGACGGCGAAGCAAUUAGGGGUUUCAGCAGUCGGAUUACCCAGUCAGCGGGAACUGGUUAGAUCAAGUCGAUGCCUGUCGGAUAUUCCUAUGUAUUCCGAGGGGUAAAAAUAAGUAUUCCUGAAGAUAAGUCGAUCGAACCAGUUGCUCAGCGUCUCCGCCGUUAACCAUUACCGAUGUUGGGAAAGGUAGAUGAAAAACUGAACGAUUUGCUGUCCAAAGAUAUAAUUGAGAGGAUGUCUGAACCGAGCCGUUGGGUGUCACCAAUGGUUAUAGUGGUCAAGGACAACGGAGACAUCAGACUUUGUAUCGAUAUGCGGCGGCUUAACAAAGCAAUACUCCGAGAGACACAUCCAUUAAAGAUGCCUUUCAUCAGCUCCAGCUCGACGAUGCACAGUGGUUCCGUUUUCUAAGAAGGGCGGUAAUAAAUAUUGUUUUCCUAUGUUUUGAGUUCAAAACGUCAAUCUUAGUGUUUUUUUCGAUGCUGAAUUCGAAAAUCACAUCUAUUUUGUAGUAUUUUCUAGAGAUUCGUGGUCAAGAGUCGUCUCAUCAAUUACUGGUAUCUUUUACCAACUUUGGCUUGACUAUUAUUUUUUACUAUGUAAUUUUCCAAACUUUUAUUGCUCGAUGCCAGAAAUUUAAUGAGUGUAUACAUAUAAAAGAAGUGUGUUUUUCGAUGUGUAUUUGAAAAUUAGGGAUAUGUUUGGCUCACAACAUUUAUUUGAUAUCGUAAUACAUAUUAAGGAAAUUACAAUGAACAAAAAAUAUAAUUCACAUAAUGUCAUAAAAAGUGAUAAAAAAAAUCUCUGCGUUCUCGGCUGACCACGAAAAAAAACUGUUCUCUCUUUGGUGCCGUUAUCAUACUUCGAAAAUAAAAGAUAGAUCUGCUCUGUUUCAUUCAACCAUGUGGCAUAUCUUUUUAUGCAGUUGCUCUUUGUUCUAUCACAUUAUUUCAAAGAAACUGAUAAUCGUGUGCAACUGUAAUGUAUUCGAGCUAUUCAUCUAGCUUCAAGUUAUAAAAAUCCCGUAGUGUUGAGUGUAUAGAUUCUGAAACAUUUUGUAUCUUCUAAUGAAUUCUUCCAGAU